RNAcentral lists this ribosomal RNA (252 nucleotides) under uncultured prokaryote. RNAcentral's name for it is "partial 16S rRNA". It matches the Rfam family "Archaeal small subunit ribosomal RNA", at positions 475 to 726 of the family's 1478-position model. The record is from RNAcentral.
ACCGGCGGCUCGAGUGGUGGCCACUAUUACUGGGCUUAAAGCGUUCGUAGCUGGCUUGUUAAGUCUCUGGGGAAAUCUUCCGGCUCAACCGGAAGGCGUCUCAGGGAUACUGGCAGGCUAGGGACCGGAAGAGGUGAGAGGUACUCCAGGGGUAGGGGUGAAAUCCGGAGAUCCGAGGGGGAAGACCGGUGGCGAAGGCGUCUUACCGGAACGGUUCCGACAGUGAGGAGCGAAAGCGGGGGGAGCAAACAG